Molecule: microRNA precursor, 55 nt
Filed under: Solanum tuberosum (potato)
Lineage: Eukaryota; Viridiplantae; Streptophyta; Magnoliopsida; Solanales; Solanaceae
Description: MIR8008 microRNA precursor family
Rfam family: MIR8008 microRNA precursor family
Source: Rfam by way of RNAcentral
AAACCUAGAAAAGCGACGGACAGAGUCCUUUAGUCUGUUGCUUUUCUGGAUUUUU